GAUGAACGAGGACACAGUUUGGUGAGAGAACCAGCACUUAAUCUGAAGCCAUUCUGUGCAUCCCUGACACAAAGAUGCUGGUUCUGCACCUGACACUUAAACUUUGUGGUCUUCCACCCCGAUUUUCUCACCAAGUGCACUUUUCAAAACAUGUAAAUGUAAGGAAUAAUUAUUAUUAUUAAACGUGCAGUACGUGGUGCUCAUGUUUAUUCAAUGAAGCCUUUUGGAAAAUUGGUCAGUUUUCUUACCUUUCUGGACAUGGACAGUAGACCGGACACACAGUUUCAAAGGAGGGACUGAGAGCUCUCGGACUAAAUCUAAAAUAUCUUAAACUGUGUUCUGAAGAUAGACGGAGCUUUUACUGGUUUGGAACGACAUGAGGGUGAGUCAUUAAUGACAUAAUUUUCAUUUUUUUGGUGAACUAACCCUUUAACUGCGUUUGUAGAUGGCACCGCUAGCCAGACUGAUAUACCCAACACAGACCGGAAGUUAACUUAGGGCCAGGCGCGUGUGCCUGAUGAAGUCUAUAUAAGGUCAUGGUGUAAAGUAGUCAGCUCCAUCAUCACAUGGAUUUCAAAUUCAAAGGAAAGUGAGCCAGUUUUGAGAGAGAUUUGCUGUCACUUGCACCAUUUUGGGGGAAAAGUGGUAAAUCUCACAGUUUUCUUUAUUUCCCUUCAUUUCCAUAUUUCGCUUGUGCUUUUCAAUUUUUUGCUCUGUGCUGACCCCUGUUCCCUUCAUCCAGCCAUCUAUAUCCCCACCUCCACCUCCUUUUUGUUUCUUUCCAUGUGCUGUGACUCAAUAACUCCCAGCAUGCAGUUUCAGCACACACACACACACAUACACGGAGGAGUACAGAACAAACACAUCUCCUGGAUCCUGAGCACCAAAAACUACACUCAUCAUUUAUCAGCUUGCUAA
Molecule: long non-coding RNA, 918 nt
Filed under: Carassius auratus (goldfish)
Lineage: Eukaryota; Metazoa; Chordata; Actinopteri; Cypriniformes; Cyprinidae
Description: lncRNA (ENSCARG00000026280.1)
Source: RNAcentral